UGUGACAUACCACUUGUUGCCUCGGCGGAUCAGCCCGCUCCCGGUAAAACGGGACGGCCCGCCAGAGGACCCCUAAAACUCUGUUUCUAUAUGUAACUUCUGAGUAAAACCAUAAAUAAAUCAAAACUUUCAACAACGGAUCUCUUGGUUCUGGCAUCGAUGAAGAACGCAGCAAAAUGCGAUAAGUAAUGUGAAUUGCAGAAUUCAGUGAAUCAUCGAAUCUUUGAACGCACAUUGCGCCCGCCAGUAUUCUGGCGGGCAUGCCUGUUCGAGCGUCAUUUCAACCCUCAAGCACAGCUUGGUGUUGGGACUCGCGUUAAUUCGCGUUCCUCAAAUUGAUUGGCGGUCACGUCGAGCUUCCAUAGCGUAGUAGUAAAACCCUCGUUACUGGUAAUCGUCGCGGCCACGCCGUUAAACCCCAACUUCUGAAUGUUGACCUCGGAUCAGGUAGGAAUACCCGCUGAACUUAAGCAUAUCAAUAAGCGGAGG
Molecule: ribosomal RNA, 489 nt
Filed under: Fusarium oxysporum
Lineage: Eukaryota; Fungi; Ascomycota; Sordariomycetes; Hypocreales; Nectriaceae
Description: eukaryotic LSU rRNA
Rfam family: 5.8S ribosomal RNA (bases 125-278)
Source: RNAcentral